AGUGAACGCUGGCGGUAGGCCUAACACAUGCAAGUCGAUCGGCAGCACAGUAAGAGCUUGCUCUUACGGGUGGCGAGUGGCGGACGGGUGAGGAAUACAUCGGAAUCUACUUUUUCGUGGGGGAUAACGUAGGGAAACUUACGCUAAUACCGCAUGCGACCUACGGGUGAAAGCAGGGGAUCUUCGGACCUUGCGCGAUUGAAUGAGCCGAUGUCGGAUUAGCUAGUUGGCGGGGUAAAGGCCCACCAAGGCGACGAUCCGUAGCUGGUCUGAGAGGAUGAUCAGCCACACUGGAACUGAGACACGGUCCAGACUCCUACGGGAGGCAGCAGUGGGGAAUAUUGGACAAUGGGCGCAAGCCUGAUCCAGCCAUACCGCGUGGGUGAAGAAGGCCUUCGGGUUGUAAAGCCCUUUUGUUGGGAAAGAAAAGCAGCAGGUUAAUACCCCGCUGUUCUGACGGUACCCAAAGAAUAAGCACCGGCUAACUUCGUG
Molecule: ribosomal RNA, 492 nt
Filed under: uncultured bacterium
Lineage: Bacteria
Description: partial 16S ribosomal RNA
Rfam family: Bacterial small subunit ribosomal RNA
Source: RNAcentral